RNAcentral lists this ribosomal RNA (256 nucleotides) under uncultured bacterium. RNAcentral describes it as "partial 16S ribosomal RNA". It matches the Rfam family "Bacterial small subunit ribosomal RNA", at positions 524 to 776 of the family's 1533-position model. The record is from RNAcentral.
UACAGAGGGGGCAAGCGUUGUUCGGAAUUACUGGGCGUAAAGGGCGCGUAGGCGGCCCGCUAAGUCGAACGUGAAAUCCCCCGAGCUCAACUCGGGAACUGCGUCCGAUACUGGCGGGCUUGAAUCCGGGAGAGGGAUGCGGAAUUCCAGGUGUAGCGGUGAAAUGCGUAGAUAUCUGGAGGAACACCGGUGGCGAAGGCGGCAUCCUGGACCGGCAUUGACGCUGAGGCGCGAAAAGCGUGGGGGAGCAAACAGG